AUUGAACGCUGGCGGCAGGCCUAACACAUGCAAGUCGGACGGUAGCACAGAGGAGCUUGCUCCUUGGGUGACGAGUGGCGGACGGGUGAGUAAUGUCUGGGGAUCUGCCCGAUAGAGGGGGAUAACCACUGGAAACGGGGCUAAUACGGCAUAACGUCGCAAGACCACAGAGGGGGACCUUCGGGCCUCUCACUAUCGGAUGAACCCAGAUGGGAUUAGCUAGUAGGCGGGGUAAUGGCCCACCUAGGCGACGAUCCCUAGCUGGUCUGAGAGGAUGACCAGCCACACUGGAACUGAGACACGGUCCAGACUCCUACGGGAGGCAGCAGUGGGGAAUAUUGCACAAUGGGCGCAAGCCUGAUGCAGCCAUGCCGCGUGUAUGAAGAAGGCCUUCGGGUCGUAAAGUACUUUCAGCGGGGAGGAAGGCGGUGAGGUUAAUAACCUUGCCGAUUGACGUUACCCGCAGAAGAAGCACCGGCUAACUCCGUGCCAGCCGCCGCGGUAA
RNAcentral lists this ribosomal RNA (505 nucleotides) under uncultured bacterium. RNAcentral's name for it is "partial 16S ribosomal RNA". It matches the Rfam family "Bacterial small subunit ribosomal RNA", at positions 29 to 523 of the family's 1533-position model. The record is from RNAcentral.